This is a long non-coding RNA of Fukomys damarensis (Damara mole-rat), 669 nucleotides long. RefSeq lists it as uncharacterized. The record is from RefSeq and is a predicted model, not a curated record. Lineage: Eukaryota; Metazoa; Chordata; Mammalia; Rodentia; Bathyergidae. The transcript has 3 exons.
CAGGGUCAGGCUUCCCAGCUUCCUCCCAGGUGGACACUACCCGCAGCACUGUCGAGGACAGGCCCUGUUUCCUGUUUCUGUGGGUUGCUCUGAGGGACAGACAGGUUUCCAAGCUUCCUGUCUGAAGUAGGGAGGCCCUAACAGGGUCUUUGGAUUCACAGACCGAGUCACCACUGCCACCCCCUGUUCAAUAAGAAAAUGCUUCAGGAUGCACGACAGUUUCACGGCAGGUUGGGGAGACCUCCUUUCUAAUUCACAAAGCAGAGUCGACUGGCGGGGCCUUCAUUGUACAUAAGCAAACCUGGGCAAAGAUGAUGCCACCCAGGAACACGGAUGCCACCGAGUGUGCCCAGCCGCGGGCGUCACUCGGCACAGCCCAUGAGCAGCACUGUGAUUGCCCCCAGUGCGUGACGAUGGAAACUAAAGCCAUACAGCCAGCCCGAGAUGGCACUGGAUUCAAAUCUGCCCCUUACUGAGGAAGAAGAUGGGCAAAAAGGAACAGACACGUUUGGAAAUGGGGCGGCAAAACAACUCGCCAGUGACACAAUCUGAAAACACCAGGGUGAAUGACAGAAUAUUCAAACAGUGCAAAGAGGGAGAAGGUGCUAGAAGCAGCCACCACAAGUGGAGGACCUGACUGGAUGGUGAGAGUCCACAGAAACCCUGAGC